This 1947-nucleotide ribosomal RNA is filed under the name Klebsiella pneumoniae. RNAcentral's name for it is "bacterial LSU rRNA". It matches the Rfam family "Bacterial large subunit ribosomal RNA", at positions 1 to 1966 of the family's 2925-position model. Lineage: Bacteria; Pseudomonadati; Pseudomonadota; Gammaproteobacteria; Enterobacterales; Enterobacteriaceae. The record is from RNAcentral.
GGGUUGUGAGGUUAAGCGACUAAGCGUACACGGUGGAUGCCCUGGCAGUCAGAGGCGAUGAAGGACGUGCUAAUCUGCGAAAAGCGUCGGUAAGGUGAUAUGAACCGUUAUAACCGGCGAUGUCCGAAUGGGGAAACCCAGUGCAAUUCGUUGCACUAUCGUUAACUGAAUACAUAGGUUAACGAGGCGAACCGGGGGAACUGAAACAUCUAAGUACCCCGAGGAAAAGAAAUCAACCGAGAUUCCCCCAGUAGCGGCGAGCGAACGGGGAGCAGCCCAGAGUCUGAAUCAGCUUGUGUGUUAGUGGAACGGUCUGGAAAGUCCGACGGUACAGGGUGAUAGUCCCGUACACCAAAAUGCACAGGCUGUGAACUCGAAGAGUAGGGCGGGACACGUGGUAUCCUGUCUGAAUAUGGGGGGACCAUCCUCCAAGGCUAAAUACUCCUGACUGACCGAUAGUGAACCAGUACCGUGAGGGAAAGGCGAAAAGAACCCCGGCGAGGGGAGUGAAAAAGAACCUGAAACCGUGUACGUACAAGCAGUGGGAGCACCUUCGGGUGUGACUGCGUACCUUUUGUAUAAUGGGUCAGCGACUUAUAUUCUGUAGCAAGGUUAACCGUAUAGGGGAGCCGCAGGGAAACCGAGUCUUAACUGGGCGUUAAGUUGCAGGGUAUAGACCCGAAACCCGGUGAUCUAGCCAUGGGCAGGUUGAAGGUUGGGUAACACUAACUGGAGGACCGAACCGACUAAUGUUGAAAAAUUAGCGGAUGACUUGUGGCUGGGGGUGAAAGGCCAAUCAAACCGGGAGAUAGCUGGUUCUCCCCGAAAGCUAUUUAGGUAGCGCCUCGUGAACUCAUCUUCGGGGGUAGAGCACUGUUUCGGCUAGGGGGUCAUCCCGACUUACCAACCCGAUGCAAACUACGAAUACCGAAGAAUGUUAUCACGGGAGACACACGGCGGGUGCUAACGUCCGUCGUGAAGAGGGAAACAACCCAGACCGCCAGCUAAGGUCCCAAAGUCAUGGUUAAGUGGGAAACGAUGUGGGAAGGCACAGACAGCCAGGAUGUUGGCUUAGAAGCAGCCAUCAUUUAAAGAAAGCGUAAUAGCUCACUGGUCGAGUCGGCCUGCGCGGAAGAUGUAACGGGGCUAAACCAUGCACCGAAGCUGCGGCAGCGACACUAUGUGUUGUUGGGUAGGGGAGCGUUCUGUAAGCCUGCGAAGGUGUGCUGUGAGGCAUGCUGGAGGUAUCAGAAGUGCGAAUGCUGACAUAAGUAACGAUAAAGCGGGUGAAAAGCCCGCUCGCCGGAAGACCAAGGGUUCCUGUCCAACGUUAAUCGGGGCAGGGUGAGUCGACCCCUAAGGCGAGGCCGAAAGGCGUAGUCGAUGGGAAACAGGUUAAUAUUCCUGUACUUGGUGUUACUGCGAAGGGGGGACGGAGAAGGCUAUGUUAGCCGGGCGACGGUUGUCCCGGUUUAAGCAUGUAGGCUGGUUAUCCAGGCAAAUCCGGAUAAUCAAGGCUGAGGUGUGAUGACGAGGCACUACGGUGCUGAAGUAACAAAUGCCCUGCUUCCAGGAAAAGCCUCUAAGCAUCAGGUAACAUCAAAUCGUACCCCAAACCGACACAGGUGGUCAGGUAGAGAAUACCAAGGCGCUUGAGAGAACUCGGGUGAAGGAACUAGGCAAAAUGGUGCCGUAACUUCGGGAGAAGGCACGCUGGUGUGUAGGUGAAGCCCCUGCGGGUGGAGCUGAGACCAGUCGAAGAUACCAGCUGGCUGCAACUGUUUAUUAAAAACACAGCACUGUGCAAACACGAAAGUGGACGUAUACGGUGUGACGCCUGCCCGGUGCCGGAAGGUUAAUUGAUGGGGUUAUCCGUAAGGAGAAGCUCUUGAUCGAAGCCCCGGUAAACGGCGGCCGUAACUAUAACGGUCCUAAGGUAGCGAAAUU